RNAcentral lists this ribosomal RNA (468 nucleotides) under uncultured bacterium. RNAcentral's name for it is "partial 16S ribosomal RNA". It matches the Rfam family "Bacterial small subunit ribosomal RNA", at positions 28 to 507 of the family's 1533-position model. The record is from RNAcentral.
GACGAACGCUGGCGGCGUGCUUAACACAUGCAAGUCGAACGGAAAGGCCCUGCUUGUGUGGUGUGCUCGAGUGCCGAACGGGUGAGUAACACGUGAGUAACCUGCCCUUGACUUUGGGAUAACUUCAGGUAACUGGGGCUACUACCGGAUAGGAUCUCCUCCUGCAUUGUGGGGGUUGGAAAGUUUCGGCGGUUGGGGAUGGACUCGCGGCUUAUCAGCUUGUUGGUGGGGUAGUGGCUUACCAAGGCAUUGACGGGUAGCCGGCCUGAGAGGGUGACCGGCCACAUGGGGACUGAGAUACGGCCCAGACUCCUACGGGAGGCAGCAGUGGGGAAUAUUGCACAAUGGGCGGAAGCCUGAUGCAGCAGCGCCGCGUGCGGGAUGCCGGCCUUCGGGUUGUAAACCGCUUUCGCCUGUGACGAAGCGUGAGUGACGGUAAUGGGUAAAGAAGCACCGGCUAACUACGUG